UACGAAGGGGGCGAGCGUUGUUCGGAAUUACUGGGCGUAAAGGGCGCGUAGGCGGCCGAUCAAGUCAGAUGUGAAAGUCCUGGGCUUAACCUGGGGACUGCAUUUGAUACUGAUUGGCUUGAAUGCAGGAGAGGAUAGCGGAAUUCCCAGUGUAGAGGUGAAAUUCGUAGAUAUUGGGAAGAACACCGGUGGCGAAGGCGACUUACUGGACACAUAUUGACGCUGAGGUGCGAAAGCGUGGGGAGCAAACAGG
Molecule: ribosomal RNA, 253 nt
Filed under: uncultured bacterium
Lineage: Bacteria
Description: partial 16S ribosomal RNA
Rfam family: Bacterial small subunit ribosomal RNA
Source: RNAcentral